GCACCGGAGAGAGCGUCUUGUGGCUGCGGCCUGCCCCUCAGCCUCCUCCGCGCGGUUACCCCUGUACCCGCCGCCAUCCGUCCUGGCGCUCCGGAUGAGUCAAUGAGGGGCAGGGCCCGAGGAGUGGUCUUCCCAAGAACCCCUGGUGGCCUCCCAAGGCCGGUGCUGUGUACCUCCUCCCCGACAAAAGGGGAAACUGAGGCCCCGAGGGGAGUGGGAAGAGCCGGCUGGACGUCAGGCCCAGCCGCUGGUGCAGUGGUCCGUCCCCUCCGCCGGGGUGGGCCCCUCGGGUUUCGCGUGUCCUCGGGAAAGAGACUGGCGGGCCUCGUGGGCUGUGCGGCUAUCCUGGAGACAGAUGACAGCUCUCCCUUGGAUGGCUUUGCUGGUUCCGCACCAGCCAGCGCCCCUAUUUUUCCUGCAGCACCCUGAUCUGCACUCCCUGAGGGGCUCCCACUGUCCGCGGUGUGAGGAUGUCCCUGGUCCACUGUGUGCAGAGGCAUGGGAGUUGUCAUGUCGAGAACAUGCUAGACCUCAGUGUCCUUGAGGGAUGCCGCCUUGGGUCUGGAAAUUGUUAGAGGAAACCCCAAGAGGUGCAGGCACUGAGCCUCUCAGGACAAUGACCUGGGGUCCCAGCUCCCCUGGAGGGGCCUCCUCAUGAUUGUUUGGGGCUUGAUCACAGACCAAGAGUGACGAGUGAUGUCACCCUGUGACUCAUGGCCGGACCUUCUUGCCCCUAUUGUCUCAGCACAACAUUAUUUGACUUUUCCCUCAGCGUGGGUGGGCAGAGGAAAAGCCCUGUGGCUCUGGGGACUUGGGAUCCGGAGUUGAAGACCCUUCAGCUGGCUCUGCCCUGCCAGUGCCACAGAGUGCCAUGGCCCAGGAAGACAGGUUUUCUUCCAUCUAGGCCAGGCCAUCCAGUGGCCAUCCUCCGUGUCCUCCCGCCUCCUCCUGGUGUGACUUCUGAAAACCAAGAAUUUGUUCCUGUUGACUUUUUCUGUGCUAUGGACCAUUGUCCUCUCACCCACUCAAUAAAUCUUGAAACAUGC
This 1046-nucleotide long non-coding RNA is filed under the name Pan troglodytes (chimpanzee). RNAcentral's name for it is "lincRNA". The record is from RNAcentral. Lineage: Eukaryota; Metazoa; Chordata; Mammalia; Primates; Hominidae.